UACGUGGGGUGCGAGCGUUGUUCGGAAUUACUGGGCGUAAAGCGUGUGUAGGCGGCUCAUUAAGUCUGAUGUGAAAUCUCUGGGCUUAACCCAGAAACUGCAUCGGAAACUGGUGAGCUAGAAUUCGGGAGAGGGUCGUGGAAUUCCUGGUGUAGAGGUGAAAUUCGUAGAUAUCAGGAGGAACACCGGUGGCGAAGGCGGCUCACUGGACCGGUACUGACGCUGAUGCGCGAAAGCGUGGGGAGCAAACGGG
RNAcentral lists this ribosomal RNA (253 nucleotides) under uncultured bacterium. RNAcentral describes it as "partial 16S ribosomal RNA". It matches the Rfam family "Bacterial small subunit ribosomal RNA", at positions 524 to 776 of the family's 1533-position model. The record is from RNAcentral.